UCAAGAGUACGUGAAACCGUUCAGGGGUAAACCUGAGAAACCCAAAAGAUCGAAUGGGGAGAUUCAGCGCCGGCGAGUUGGCUUCCGUGCGGCUCGCGAUGUCGGUGGCUCGGCCGCCCGGCACGCGCGCUGCGGCAUGUCCGGACUUGCCGGCGUGCACUUCUCCCCUAGUAGGACGUCGCGACCCGUUGGGUGCGCCUACGGCCCGUUUGGUCGACUGUCGCGCUCUCUUAAACAGUGCGCGGCAGACCUUCGUCGCCCGGCCGACUGCCCGGCGGUAUUGAAUUUUAAAUGGUAUUAAGCCGCAUGAAUGCGUUCGGCUCGUCGGCAGGCUCGUCUCGCUCGGAUACGGACCUAGCGCCGUUGUCGGGCGCUUGGCGUGGCUUUGGUCGACGAUGCUCUCGAACCGGCUUUAAUCUAAUACUACCGGUCGGCGACGCUUUUGCUUUGGGUACUUUCAGGACCCGUCUUGAAACACGGACCAAGGAGUCUAACAUGUGCGCGAGUCAUUGGGCAACAAACCUAAAGGCGCAAUGAAAGUGAAGGGGUAGCCUCGGCCGAGGGAGGA
This 568-nucleotide ribosomal RNA is filed under the name Cerchysius subplanus. RNAcentral describes it as "eukaryotic LSU rRNA". It matches the Rfam family "Eukaryotic large subunit ribosomal RNA", at positions 389 to 762 of the family's 3401-position model. Lineage: Eukaryota; Metazoa; Arthropoda; Insecta; Hymenoptera; Encyrtidae. The record is from RNAcentral.